This 253-nucleotide ribosomal RNA is filed under the name uncultured bacterium. Its description in RNAcentral is "partial 16S ribosomal RNA". It matches the Rfam family "Bacterial small subunit ribosomal RNA", at positions 524 to 776 of the family's 1533-position model. The record is from RNAcentral.
UACGUAGGUGGCAAGCGUUGUCCGGAUUUAUUGGGUUUAAAGGGUGCGUAGGCGGCUUUGUAAGUCAGUGGUGAAAUACUCCAGCUCAACUGGAGAGGUGCCAUUGAUACUGCAGAGCUAGAGUACUGAUGAGGUAGGCGGAAUUGACGGUGUAGCGGUGAAAUGCUUAGAUAUCGUCCAGAACACCGAUAGCGAAGGCAGCUUACUAAAGAGUAACUGACGCUGAGGCACGAAAGUGUGGGGAUCAAACAGG